CUCUCAGGUGGGGUGUCUUAAGCAGAAUCAGCACAGCAGGUUUCGUCAAUACCUGAAUUUUUCCCAUCACCUCCAGACUGGACGUGAAAGCACAGGUGAUCGACAAGGGCUACCCCCGCUUGAUAGACCUGACUUUUGGAGGAGUUCCGGUUGAUGCUCAUGACGUCUUCCUAUACAAUGGAAACAUUUACUUCUGUCGGGAUCGGUUCUACUGGAGGAUGAACUCACGGAGGCAGGUGGACCGGGUGGGCUACCUGAAGUACGACGUUCUCAAAUGCCCCGAUUUCUCCAACCAACAAUUCUGAGGCACCACCAUUCAACCUGUCUGGGCUUUCUGGCACCCAGCUCAGACAAAACCAUCUUCUACAGAAUACACUUCUAUAUUUUGUUAAAUAAAUGGCUUAGAACAUGACAGAACAUUCCAGAAAGACUCUGGAAUAGUUAAAUCUCCUUUUCCAGAUAAUUGGGUUCUUCUGUAAUACUCCCAACGGAGUAGUUAAGAUUAAAUAAUUUGUUUUAUUUUUUUAAGUAUUGUUUAACAAUACAGUGUAAUUAGUGAUGCUUAUGAUAACAGGCGCAAUAUCUUUUAUCUUCAUAUGAACCGCUGUUUCUUUACAGUGUCGAUUGUCUCCUCCGUCUACCUUUUGCACUUUUCCGGUACAAACUUGGGAUUACGAAGCAGUAUUGUGCGACUAUAUAAAAUAUUGUGUAUAUUAUUGAAUUAUGCUGAAUAAGUAAUUUUAUACCAGUAUGUAACACAGCAAUGGAUCCGGAGAAAAUCACAUGUAUUUUCUCCUAGGCGAUUUCUAAUGUUUGACAAUGUAAUCCCACCGUAAGCCCAGUGUGGUCAGAGGAAGGUUAUAUACGUUGUAUGAGGUUACAUGGGCAGCUCCUGCUGUUCUAAUACGAUACAUGAGGUUUCGGAUUAUUUAAUUCUGCUUAGCAUUCGCCUGCCUGGGGCAGACGGACCAACGUUUGUUUGAAAACCGUGACUGCUUAAAAUGUUUUAUAUUGUUUUUGUGUAUUUUUGUGUGUUUGUGCUGUGAAGUGAUAACAAUGAAAUGAUCCUCACUUUUGCACUGGAACGCAUGUUACAAAUCAGUCUUGUGAUUAUUUAAUAGGUCACAUACAUUCUGUCACUGUUAGAAUUCCAGUUUUAGGGAAGACUUCAUUAAAAAUCACUUGUGUACUGAGUUAAA
Non-coding RNA from Paramormyrops kingsleyae, 1199 nucleotides. Lineage: Eukaryota; Metazoa; Chordata; Actinopteri; Osteoglossiformes; Mormyridae. The record is from RefSeq and is a predicted model, not a curated record.